CAAUAGUCAAUGCAUAGAUCGAUCGAACGUUUAUGCGAAAGAACGACAGAACGUGACAGAGAGCGAGGGACGCGUGUCUUCGCUGAGAGCGUCGGCAACGAGGUCGAAAUUACGAAGGUGAGCCUUUAUUUCGUCGCGGACGCGCGGGGGGUACCUAUAAGAGCGGCGAGACACGACGGAGAGUGGAAAGUUUUGACGCCACCCUAUAAAUCAAGCCGCGGGUUCGCUCGGCCGAAACGUUGCACGGUCUCACCCCGGUUCUCCAGAGUUUCGCUCACCGUAUGUCUCCUUCGCCUCUCGGCACAGACAGCUUGUACAAGGUAUCCAUCCUGCCAACUAUAUCUCCACGAGAUAAACUCAGGUACCUCAUCCCCCGGAGAAACUCCAGGAAAGAUCAGACCACCCUGCGACGUCCCUAACACUAACUAGCAACGAAGUGGUCUAUCCCAAAGGAACCGGCGAUAAUCGAAAGAAAACCGAACUAGGGUCUACCCAAUUCCACUAUAGACAACAGGCUUCUGUCCAUGUCUUGCCUAUAGGAAAUACGUUUCCGGUAGCCUGUCCGGCUGUCCGUAGGAGUCGCAUGACAGAUAGAAAGGAGCGUGGAACACAGAAGGGGAGAAGAAAAGACAGAGAAAACCGACAGAGAGGCCAGCAAGCAAGAAAAGCAAGAUAUUGGGAGGAGGAGUGGUGAUGGGGCAGGGUGAGAAGCGAGGAUUCGGCGGAGUGGUUGGUUCAGGGGUUGGUAUUGGAUGCUGCCUCGGCGAAGCUCACGGUAGGGGUAGUUUGACAAGUUGACAAGAGCACAAAGGUCGUGGCGGAGCCGCAAGAGACGUGGAAGGGGAGGAAGGGCGAGGGCUGCACGUAGCGCAGCCUAGAAAAGAGGAGUGUGGGAAGAGGAGGCGUCGCGAUGCUCAGCGUCCGACGGAGGGUUACCGGAUAGGGUAGUAGGGGGUUGAAAGCCCGGUAGAUUCAACGCCGUGAACAAAGGCCGGCUGGCUUCGCCCCGCUGCCUACUCUCGGACUUUGGAAACGAGAUCACAUACACAUGCCACGGUGUGUGUGUUGUAUGCGUGUGAGAACGCCACGAACCGUGUGCACCACCGGUAUACCGCCCAGAAGGGGAGUCGGAGUUUGCUCGCUCGACCCGAUAGAUACGAGCGAGCCGGGCCUAAUAUCGAAAGUUCCUGGCUCGAGCUGAAACCGUGCUUAAUUAAAUCGGAAGGCCGUGAGAGAUAACCGGCGCGUCCCUCCUACGAUGCUCGACGAGAGCGUCUGGAAAACACCCGUGUACUAUGGAUGGGGUUCAUGACGUGGCAAGAAUGCAGCGGCGAAAUUUGUCGCAGCGAAGAGCCGAUAUACAGUGGCGAUUAGAGCGUCUAAUGUGAUCACUAGUUGGAAAAAUUCAACGUAAUAUUAUUAGUUUCAGAUAGAUUGUUAUAGUUUAAAAUUAUGGAUUGGAAAUGGCUAAUUACAAUUUACAUUUCAUACGCUGUCCGUCUUAUUUGAUAUUGCUAUUUCGUGUUAGAAAUACAGAUAUCGUUAUGCCUGAAGUGGCCUUAUUCUUGGUUUGUCUAACAGAACGACUUUAUUAUCAACGACUUAAAAUUUCGCUGAUAAUAUUAAUCUUUAUCGAUAGCCUACAUGCUAAGUCCAUUAACAAAUGAAGGGAGGCCUGGAAUGACUCACGUAAUGCUUCCUUAAACAUAUUCAUGGAAAAUUAACGCAUUUACAAAUUCUGUAUUCUACAAACAACAACAAAAUUCCACAAACGUAUUUCCAUUCUAUAGGAAGGAAUCUUCAAUUUCUCUUUCGCCUCGUAUUACCAGAACAUAAAUCUGACGUGCAGUUCACAGCUCGUUAAAAGAUCAUCUAGUGAACUGAGAAGGAAUCUGAAAGGGUGUCGAAGCGAGCAAAAUCAAUAAACUGUUGUAGCGUGCAGGAUCACCGACCCGAUCGACGUUUCGCGGUCUCAAGCGACGUUUCUAAUGAUCCUUGCGGCACUAGCCGAUCGCGAUAAAUCAUGGCAGCAGCUCGUAAAACCGUAAGGAGCCCCGCUGCAUGUAUCAAUGCGUGUGCGAUACACACGCGAACAGGUCAACGAGAAAGGGAGGCGGAAAGAGUCGGAUACAUCGUGUUGAAGUUGUGCCACGAUAUAAAUGGAACGCUUUUGCGGAGCACGCCUUAUAUACAUACACGCUGGUUAGCUGAAAUAUUUAUUGCUUUUUGAAGCGAGUAUCGGUGGCCCGCGGCGUGCUAUUGUAGAAAAUCGUUCGACUUGUUCACGGCCAUGGUUUCUAUUAUUUCUUCCUUUCUCUUUCCCCCUUUUCGUUUUACUCGAUCGAUAUGACGUUCUUCUAUCAACGGUUUCCAUCGUUCUGAUAUUUUUCGCAACAUACGUUACAUUCUAUGCGCUUGAUGUUGAUGGAACGAAAGGGUUGAAAAAGAAUGUAUUUCCAUAGGGCUAGAUUGGAUAUUUAUUUUCUAAGGAUUUUUUAAAAAUUGUUUUUUUUUUUUUAUUUGCAUACUUUCUCCCACUUUUAUCGACGAUGACGUUAAACAAAAGUUGGAAUAUAAUUGCAAGCUCGAUAAGAUCGGUGAUUUAAAAAAAUUCCAAGGUUUUCUCAAUCGUUGAUGGAAGAGUGGAUACGAAA
This is a long non-coding RNA of Bombus terrestris (buff-tailed bumblebee), 2654 nucleotides long. RefSeq lists it as uncharacterized. NCBI's taxonomy places the organism in Eukaryota, Metazoa, Arthropoda, Insecta, Hymenoptera, Apidae. The transcript has 2 exons. The record is from RefSeq and is a predicted model, not a curated record.